GGGGUCACAAAGAGUCAGACACGAGGGAACAAUAACAACAACAGAUAGCUCUAUUUGUUGGUCCCAGGUUGAUAUAUCACUUGACUUCCUGCCAUCUCUGAAGAGGCAGGAUCACUUACAUGAAGUCAGGACACCUGGGCUUGAGGCCCUGUUUGGUCACUUGCUGUCUGUGGAGGUGACCUCAUGAUGGGCAAACAUCACGCCUCUCAUCGGAGCUCUCCCAAGAGGCCUGGCCCAGGACCUUCUGGAAGAGGAGGUGAGACAGAACGCAGAACUGGGCCAAUGCUGUCGAGUCCCAAGGCUGUGCUCUUCUUGAGUAUGAACGUGGGAAGAGUGGUCGGCAUGGCCCAGACUGAGGUGUCCUUUAGAGAGGUCCGUGUGGUUUGGCACUAUCUGGGCACAGAGUGGACAGUAUGAGCCCCACCCAGGAGUACCUGAAAUGUGGUGUUCCAGGAUUGGAAUGCUCCCAGUUGAAGGCUCUUAUUCUAGAUGGGGAAACAGAAACAAAAAGCAGAAAGGUCCCUUGCCUUCCAGGAGUUUACAUUCUACUGGGCCAUGUGGAAGAGCUGGAGAGGCUGCUGAGGAGG
Dromiciops gliroides (monito del monte) is the source of this 587-nucleotide long non-coding RNA. RefSeq lists it as uncharacterized. The transcript has 4 exons. NCBI's taxonomy places the organism in Eukaryota, Metazoa, Chordata, Mammalia, Microbiotheria, Microbiotheriidae. The record is from RefSeq and is a predicted model, not a curated record.